Molecule: ribosomal RNA, 402 nt
Filed under: uncultured bacterium
Lineage: Bacteria
Description: bacterial SSU rRNA
Rfam family: Bacterial small subunit ribosomal RNA
Source: RNAcentral
UUUUGGACAAUGGGGGCAACCCUGAUCCAGCAAUGCCGCGUGAGUGAAGAAGGCCUUCGGGUUGUAAAGCUCUUUUGUCAGGGAAGAAACAGCAGCUCUAACACAGUCUGCGAAUGACGGCACCUGAAGAAUAAGCACUGGCUAACUACGUGCCAGCAGCCGCGGUAAUACGUAGGGUGCGAGCGUUAAUCGGAAUUACUGGGCGUAAAGCGUGCGCAGGCGGUUAUACAAGACAGGCGUGAAAUCCCCGGGCUUAACCUGGGAAUGGCGCCUGUGACUGUAUAGCUAGAGUGUGUCAGAGGGGGGUAGAAUUCCACGUGUAGCAGUGAAAUGCGUAGAUAUGUGGAGGAAUACCAAUGGCGAAGGCAGCCCCCUGGGAUAACACUGACGCUCAUGCACGAA